Molecule: unclassified non-coding RNA, 392 nt
Filed under: soil metagenome
Description: partial contains 5.8S ribosomal RNA, internal transcribed spacer 2, and large subunit ribosomal RNA
Rfam family: 5.8S ribosomal RNA (bases 1-122)
Source: RNAcentral
GAUGAAGAACGCAGCGAAAUGCGAUACUUGGUGUGAAUUGCAGAAUCCCGUGAACCAUCGAGUCUUUGAACGCAAGUUGCGCCCGAAGCCAUUAGGCCGAGGGCACGCCUGCCUGGGCGUCACACGUCGUUGCCCCCCCCAUCUACUCCUUCGGGAUUGCGGGGGGCGGAUGAUGGCCUCCCGUGCGCCUCGCCGCGCGGUUGGCAUAAAUGCCAAGUCCUCGGCGACGCACGCCACGACAAUCGGUGGUUGCGAAACCGCGGUUGCCCGUCGUGUGCGGUCGUCGCGCAUCGAGGGCUCGAAAAAAUUGCCGGGUUCCGGCUCGGCUUUCAACGCGACCCCAGGUCAGGCGGGGUUACCCGCUGAAUUUAAGCAUAUCAAUAAGCGGAGGA